RNAcentral lists this ribosomal RNA (616 nucleotides) under Papiliotrema laurentii. RNAcentral's name for it is "partial large subunit ribosomal RNA". It matches the Rfam family "Eukaryotic large subunit ribosomal RNA", at positions 68 to 664 of the family's 3401-position model. Lineage: Eukaryota; Fungi; Basidiomycota; Tremellomycetes; Tremellales; Rhynchogastremaceae. The record is from RNAcentral.
ACAGGGAAUUCCCUAGUAACGGCGAGUGAACCGGGAAGAGCUCAAAUUUGAAAUCUGGCGUCCUCAGGGCGUCCGAGUUGUAAUCUAUAGAGGCGUUUUCCGUGCCGGACCGUGUCCAAGUUCCUUGGAACAGGAUAUCAAAGAGGGUGACAAUCCCGUACUUGACACGACGACCGGUGCUCUGUGAUACGUCUUCUACGAGUCGAGUUGUUUGGGAAUGCAGCUCAAAAUGGGUGGUGAGUUCCAUCUAAAGCUAAAUAUUGGCGAGAGACCGAUAGCGAACAAGUACCGUGAGGGAAAGAUGAAAAGCACUUUGGAAAGAGAGUUAAACAGUACGUGAAAUUGUUGAAAGGGAAACGAUUGAAGUCAGUCGUGACCGAGAGGCUCAGCCGGUUCUGCCGGUGUAUUCCCCUCGGUCGGGUCAACAUCAGUUUUGUCCGGUGGAUAAGGGCGGUAGGAAGGUGGCACCCUCGGGUGUGUUAUAGCCUGCCGUCGCAUACAUCGGGUGAGACUGAGGAACGCAGCUCGCCUUUAUGGCCGGGGUUCGCCCACGUCCGAGCUUAGGAUGUUGACAUAAUGGCUUUAAACGACCCGUCUUGAAMMMGGGGACACAAAA